RNAcentral lists this ribosomal RNA (250 nucleotides) under uncultured bacterium. RNAcentral's name for it is "partial 16S ribosomal RNA". It matches the Rfam family "Bacterial small subunit ribosomal RNA", at positions 524 to 773 of the family's 1533-position model. RNAcentral also lists the same sequence under 1 other name. The record is from RNAcentral.
UACGAAGGGGGCUAGCGUUGUUCGGAAUGACUGGGCGUAAAGCGCACGUAGGCGGCUUGUUUAGUCAGAGGUGAAAUCCCGGGGCUUAACCCCGGAACUGCCUUUGAUACUGGCAAGCUUGAGUCCGGAAGAGGGUGACGGAAUACCCAGUGUAGAGGUGAAAUUCGUAGAUAUUGGGUAGAACACCAGUGGCGAAGGCGGUCACCUGGUCCGGUACUGACGCUGAGGUGCGAAAGCGUGGGGAGCAAAC